This 334-nucleotide unclassified non-coding RNA is filed under the name soil metagenome. Its description in RNAcentral is "partial contains 5.8S ribosomal RNA, internal transcribed spacer 2, and large subunit ribosomal RNA". The stretch from base 1 to 120 matches the Rfam family "5.8S ribosomal RNA", at positions 35 to 154 of the family's 154-position model. The record is from RNAcentral.
GAUGAAGAACGCAGUGAAAUGCGAUAAGUAAUGUGAAUUGCAGAAUUCAGUGAAUCAUCGAAUCUUUGAACGCACAUUGCGCCCGCCAGUAUUCUGGCGAGCAUGCCUGUUCGAGCGUCAUUUCAACCAUCAAGCCCCAGGCUUGUGUUGGAGCCCUGCGGCUGCCGCAGCCUCCCAAAACCAGUGGCGGGCUCGCUAUCACACCGAGUGCAGUAGUUUACUCUUCGCUCAGGGCGUGUGGCGGGUGCUAGCCGUGAAACCCCCAACUUCUCAAGGUUGACCUCGGAUCAGGUAGGAAUACCCGCUGAACUUAAGCAUAUCAAUAAGCGGAGGA